GACGAACGCUGGCGGCGUGCCUAAUACAUGCAAGUCGAACGAACCGCGACUAAGUGCUUACCCUAAGUCAAGGUGAGUGGCGAACGGGUGAGUAACACGUGGGUAACCUACCUCAUAGUGGGGGAUAACAGUCGGAAACGACUGCUAAUACCGCAUAGGACAUAGGAUCACAUGAUCCAGUGAGGAAAGGUGGCGCAAGCUAUCGCUAAGAGAUGGACCCGCGGUGCAUUAGCUAGUUGGUAGGGUAAAGGCCUACCAAGGCGAUGAUGCAUAGCCGACCUGAGAGGGUGAUCGGCCACAUUGGGACUGAGACACGGCCCAAACUCCUACGGGAGGCAGCAGUAGGGAAUCUUCCGCAAUGGACGCAAGUCUGACGGAGCAACGCCGCGUGAGUGAAGAAGGUCUUCGGAUCGUAAAGCUCUGUUGUUAGAGAAGAACAGCGCAUAGAGUAACUGCUAUGCGUGUGACGGUAUCUAACCAGAAAGCCACGGCUAACUACGUG
RNAcentral lists this ribosomal RNA (502 nucleotides) under uncultured bacterium. Its description in RNAcentral is "partial 16S ribosomal RNA". It matches the Rfam family "Bacterial small subunit ribosomal RNA", at positions 28 to 507 of the family's 1533-position model. The record is from RNAcentral.